This 596-nucleotide ribosomal RNA is filed under the name uncultured Bacteroidota bacterium. Its description in RNAcentral is "bacterial SSU rRNA". It matches the Rfam family "Bacterial small subunit ribosomal RNA", at positions 122 to 715 of the family's 1533-position model. The record is from RNAcentral. Lineage: Bacteria; Pseudomonadati; Bacteroidota.
CAACUUACCUAUCAGAGGGGGACAGCCCGGCGAAAGUCGGAUUAAUACCCCAUAAAACAGGGGUCCCGCAUGGGAAUAUUUGUUAAAGAUUCAUCGCUGAUAGAUAGGCAUGCGUUCCAUUAGGCAGUUGGCGGGGUAACGGCCCACCAAACCGACGAUGGAUAGGGGUUCUGAGAGGAAGGUCCCCCACAUUGGUACUGAGACACGGACCAAACUCCUACGGGAGGCAGCAGUGAGGAAUAUUGGUCAAUGGCCGAGAGGCUGAACCAGCCAAGUCGCGUGAAGGAAGAAGGAUCUAUGGUUUGUAAACUUCUUUUAUAGGGGAAUAAAGUGGAGGACGUGUCCUUUUUUGUAUGUACCCUAUGAAUAAGCAUCGGCUAACUCCGUGCCAGCAGCCGCGGUAAUACGGAGGAUGCGAGCGUUAUCCGGAUUUAUUGGGUUUAAAGGGCGCGUAGGUGGUGAUUUAAGUCAGCGGUGAAAGUUUGUGGCUCAACCAUAAAAUUGCCGUUGAAACUGGGUUACUUGAGUGUGUUUGAGGUAGGCGGAAUGCGUGGUGUAGCGGUGAAAUGCAUAGAUAUCACGAAGAACUCCGAUUG